RNAcentral lists this ribosomal RNA (250 nucleotides) under uncultured prokaryote. RNAcentral's name for it is "partial 16S rRNA". It matches the Rfam family "Bacterial small subunit ribosomal RNA", at positions 525 to 775 of the family's 1533-position model. The record is from RNAcentral.
ACGUAGGGGGCAAGCGUUAUCCGGAAUAAUUGGGCGUAAAGAGCGCGUAGGUGGCUUAUUAAGCGAGAGGUGAAAGGCAAGAGCUUAACUAUUGUAAGCCUUGCGAACUGGUAGACUUGAGUGCAGGAGAGGCAAGUGGAAUUCCUAGUGUAGCGGUGAAAUGCGUAGAUAUUAGGAGGAACACCAGUGGCGAAGGCGACUUGCUGGACUGUAACUGACAUUGAGGCACGAAAGCGAGGGGAGCAAACAG